AUUCCUCACUUGGGUGGCACAUAUAUUAAAAUUGGAAUGAUACACAGAAGAUUAGCAUGGCCCUUGCACAAGGAUGACAUACAAAUUCAUGAGGUGUUCCAUUAAAAU
Piliocolobus tephrosceles (Ugandan red Colobus) is the source of this 108-nucleotide small nuclear RNA. Lineage: Eukaryota; Metazoa; Chordata; Mammalia; Primates; Cercopithecidae. The record is from RefSeq and is a predicted model, not a curated record.